GACGGAGGGUGCAAGCGUUGUUCGGAAUUACUGGGCGUAAAGGGCGCGUAGGCGGUCUGCUAAGUUCGGUGUGAAAUCCCCUGGCUCAACUGGGGAACUGCGCCGGAAACUGGCAGACUAGAGUACCGGAGAGGAGGGUGGAAUUCCUGGUGUACCGGUGAAAUGCGUAGAUAUCAGGAGGAACACCGGUGGCGAAGGCGGCCCUCUGGACGGAUACUGACGCUGAGGCACGAAAGCGUGGGGAGCAAACAGG
Molecule: ribosomal RNA, 253 nt
Filed under: uncultured bacterium
Lineage: Bacteria
Description: partial 16S ribosomal RNA
Rfam family: Bacterial small subunit ribosomal RNA
Source: RNAcentral